Molecule: long non-coding RNA, 1518 nt
Filed under: Anser brachyrhynchus (Pink-footed goose)
Lineage: Eukaryota; Metazoa; Chordata; Aves; Anseriformes; Anatidae
Description: lncRNA (ENSABRG00000003866.1)
Source: RNAcentral
UGAUUCCAGAACGAGUAUGGUCCAGAAAUGAGAUUUAAUAUCUUGGAAAAACUUCUGCAAAUUGCAGGAGUGUCAAGUCAGUCAAAAAUGGAACUUAGUAAAUAAGCAAAACUGCAUCAGCUGCCAUGAACUGAUAUUCUUUUCUUUUUUUUUCUAGGGCAAAAUAUGUUAUCAUCAAAUCUUGAAAAUUACCUCAAAGUAAGACUAAGCAGAGGGGUGCAAAUUUGUAGCUUGCUAAAAGUUUUUAUUUUCUCUAGUUCUUUUGUUGAGUAGUUGCCUUGAAACCAGAGAAGCUCCACUGGCAUAAAACAUUUGUGGAUUAAGAAUUAUCUUUCCUUCUGCCUAUUUCAAUUCAUGUCAUAGCCCAGUAUGUUGCAGGUGCAGGGAGCUUCACACCAAAGAGAAACAUGAAACAGAAACGUAACUUGCUAUAAUGUAGAUGAAAAAAAAAAGUGUAAUAGCUAGACUCCCUCUGUACUAAACCAUAUCUAUUCUGAAACAACUUACAUGAGGAAUCCUGAAACCCAGAAUAAAUUAUGUUAAUUUUGCUACCUGUAAACGUAACUGGUCGUAUGUACUGAAUAAUCCAUUUACUGUGUUCUGCAGGCAAGGAAUAUAAGGAGAAAUAUUUGUGUGUCCAUACAUGCCCAUGCAUACAUAAAGUCAUUUUUAUGUAAAUUUUCCAUUUAAAAAAUGAUUUAAAUUACCAUCAUAAUCAUGAGUUAAUCCUAUGCAGUUUGACUUUAUUUGAAUAAAUGCUUCUUUGAAAACAUUAAUAUGGCUUGUAAUCAUUAGUUAUAUUUUUGUUAAUCAUAAAUAUACUAAAUACGUAUUAAUUAGAACUGUUAUGUUGCAUUUAUACAAAACCAUUAAGACUAUGUACAUUUGAAAACGGAAAUUAACUGCUUUCUAAUUUUGUGCAGGUCUCACUGGACAAAAGAAACCCUGCAUAUGUUAUAUAAGAGACCUCACUGUAAACUUCUCAAUCUUUUCAAGAUGAAGGAGGCUACUGGAGUGUACCCAGUAGAACAGCAAGAUCUCAAGGACUUCCAGAGAAGAUGUAUAAACACACGUCUGACUACACUGAAGCAGAGAAUGAGUAUAUUCAGCCAACUUCCGUGUUUCCAACAGCAGAUAUGUGUUGCAGGGAUGAGCAUCUGAGGAGCACAAGCUGGAAUUACUUUCAAAAUUCAUCCAAAAGCUUGCCAGUAGUAGAGCAAAGAUACCUAACUAUCCUUGUGUAACAUUAAAUCCAGAGAUGAUGCUAAUACAGAAGAGCAAAGCCUCUUUUUUCUAAGACCGCAUCUUAUUUAGAAGUCAGUGGGCAUGAUGGGCUGUGAUGAACUGUGGUAGUAAUUCCAUUAUUACAGUAUGCAUGUGGGAACAUGUGCUGGAUGCUGUUUCUGUUCAAAACUAUCAGGUCAGCAGUGCAGCGUGGUACGCCUAAUUGUACCAGGUCUUGGAUACACUUUGCGUUUUUAUUUCAGUAAUACGCAUUCUGAGAAACAGAUGAAACAA